This 616-nucleotide long non-coding RNA is filed under the name Homo sapiens (human). Its description in RNAcentral is "long intergenic non-protein coding RNA 1524". The record is from RNAcentral. Lineage: Eukaryota; Metazoa; Chordata; Mammalia; Primates; Hominidae.
GAUGACGCACAGUGCUGGCGCAAGUCGUCUUGCGCCAGGCGACUGGGUCUGAGGAGGCAGGAGUUAUUCAUUCCCUUAAGCUUUCAGGCCGGGGGGAGAAUCUUUCAGGUGGUAGCUGCAAGAACUCUUAGUAUGUUGACCUCACCUCUGCCUUCCACAUACCACUACCAGUGAGGAAUUAGGAAUGCAUGAGAAGAGUGUCCAAGAAGAGUGUCCUCAUUCAUGCAAGGCUUAAGAGAGAAUGCAGGUCAACAUCACCAUGUCAAUCAGAGCUUUCAGAGUGACUAACCAUACCAGUUUGACCAAGACUGUAUUGGCUGCAGCACUUAAAAGCUCACAUCCCGGAAAUCCUUUGGUCCUCGGUGAAUUGGGAUGGUUGGUUACCCUAUUACUGAUGAUUGUAAUUCUCAGCGUAGUUUGGAACCAGCAGCAGCAGCAGCUCCCCAGACCUACUGAAUCAGAAUCUACAUUUUGAUAAGAGCCCAGGGUGACUCCAUGUACGUGAAAAAGUUUGAGAAGUCCUUAGACCUACAGUUCACAGCUUCUCCUUCUUUCUUAUUCAACUGAAUUGCAGUGGGACCUGAGUAUGGUUAAAAUAAAUGAAUAAAAACACAAA